Molecule: long non-coding RNA, 1557 nt
Filed under: Pan troglodytes (chimpanzee)
Lineage: Eukaryota; Metazoa; Chordata; Mammalia; Primates; Hominidae
Description: long non-coding RNA NONPTRT006609
Source: RNAcentral
AGGGGAACGCCUUCAUGUCAGCAAUGAGGGUGACUCUAGUGACGGAACUAGUCUUGGGUCCCUGGGGCACCACCAGCCUCUCAGCAUCGGUGGUUUCUCCUUACUCUUCAGACGCUGCCAACUCCAUCCCCCAGGGAUUGUGAAGGGGGUUCCUUCUGGCUGUGACAGUGCUGAACGAGGCCAGAGAGUGCAGCUGCCUGGAGGCACAAGCCUCCUCCUGAUCCAGGGGACUCCAGGGAGACCAAAGCAGCUGUCAAGAUGAGAGAAAUUGAAAAAGAAAAUGGAAAACUCUCCAGCCUGGCUCUCAGCUUCUGCAUCUCCAUGCAAGACCAGAGACCCACAUCACUCCCUCACUCCACCCAGUUCCACUCCAACAAUACCUGGGCCCUGCCAGGAGUGAGAAAACGGUUCUCUUCCUGUGGAUAGGUUGCUCUCUCCUCUUCCAGAUCAGGGUAUUCAUUGGUGCUGGGGAAUCCACAGCCCUCUUCGCCAAGCACCACUGGCUCAGAUGCAGCCCCAGAGCUGCCCCACUGGGCCUUCUUCAGUCUGUGGAGACUUUAGGCUGAGGAGAGAAGUGCCUGGAGGCCAGGCUUCCUGUCUCUCCAUUCUUCACCUUUCUGUUCUGAAAUACUUCCUGCUGGGACUCCAGGGAGUUGUCAUUUGACCUUUAACCCUCCACUCCCAAUUUUCUGCUCCCCUCAGACUGAAGCAUAUUGUCUAGGAACCCAGAGGUGACCCCAACCUCCCCACUGUCCUCCAGUUCUAUGGUUUGCUUUCCUGUCUUCAGUGAUCUACUUUCCACUCCUUCCAGCUCAUGUGGCUCAUCCUCCUUACUGCAGUUCCCUCCUUCUUUCCAUAUUACAGAAAUCUGUUUCAAUCACACCAAAGCCCACAGCUUCCUUCCAAGCAACCUCCCCUCAAAGCUCCCCUCAAACCUCCCCUCAAAGCUGUCAACCCCUUCCUUAGCUCAAACUGUUCUGCCCCCAAAUCCUGCAUGACUCCCAGAACCCAGAUGUCUCCCUUCCUUACUCGUUGAUGAUGCUCUGACGCCUUCUUAGGUCCUCCAGGUGGUAAGUGACAGCCCUCACCCGGGCGGGGACUCCCCCAAGGCCCUGCUGCUGCAUUCCUUCCAAACAUGGCCUCCUCUUCUUUCUUCUCCAAAGCAUUUCAGGGGGUGGGAGCUGCUCAGGAGGAUACAGACCAAGCUGGGAGCAACCAGUGGCUCUCUGUGCCAGAGAAUGGGGAAAAAGAGCUAGAAAAAAGAACUGGCUCUCUCAAGGGAGCUUGGAUUGAACUAGGUAGGGAGUCUGGGGUCUUGGGAAGACCCCUGUGAUCUCGAAAACAUGAUGACUGAUUCAUAGAAAGGAAGGCCUGGUCAGUGCACUGGUUGGGGAAUAACAGAGGGAAGCGGUAAUAAGGAGAGCUUGGGACAGGAUAGCAGUGGGUGCAAUUUUAACAGAGAAAUGCUGAACGGCAGAGGGUCUGUCUUACCAGCGUGGGUGGAAUGUGCUGCUCCUCCAGCCAAGUGGGGCUGUGAAGAACAAAAAGGGGGCUAUA